Molecule: ribosomal RNA, 166 nt
Filed under: Solanum tenuipes var. tenuipes
Lineage: Eukaryota; Viridiplantae; Streptophyta; Magnoliopsida; Solanales; Solanaceae
Description: 5.8S ribosomal RNA
Rfam family: 5.8S ribosomal RNA
About the family: 5.8S ribosomal RNA (5.8S rRNA) is a component of the large subunit of the eukaryotic ribosome. It is transcribed by RNA polymerase I as part of the 45S precursor that also contains 18S and 28S rRNA.
Source: RNAcentral
CCAAAACGACUCUCGGCAACGGAUAUCUCGGCUCUCGCAUCGAUGAAGAACGUAGCGAAAUGCGAUACUUGGUGUGAAUUGCARAAUCCCGUGAACCAUCGAGUCUUUGAACGCAAGUUGCGCCCGAAGCCGUCAGGCCGAGGGCACGUCUGCCUGGGCGUCACGC